AAAGCGUUAGUUCAGCCGGAAGAAUGCCGCCCUGUUACGGCGAAAGUCGAAGGUUCGGUCCUACACGCUUUC
This 72-nucleotide transfer RNA is filed under the name Chryseobacterium sp. SN22. RNAcentral describes it as "tRNA-Asn". It matches the Rfam family "tRNA". From Rfam's summary of the family: Transfer RNA (tRNA) molecules are approximately 80 nucleotides in length. The record is from RNAcentral. Lineage: Bacteria; Pseudomonadati; Bacteroidota; Flavobacteriia; Flavobacteriales; Weeksellaceae.